CGGGACCGCACAAGCGGUGGAUGAUGUGGAUAAUUCGAUGCAACGCGAAGAACCUUACCUACCCUUGACAUGUCCGGAACUUGCCAGAGAUGGCUUGGUGCCCGAAAGGGAAUCGGAACACAGGUGCUGCAUGGCUGUCGUCAGCUCGUGUCGUGAGAUGUUGGGUUAAGUCCCGCAACGAGCGCAACCCUUAUCAUUAGUUGCUACGCAAGGGCACUCUAAUGAGACUGCCGGUGACAAACCGGAGGAAGGUGGGGAUGACGUCAAGUCCUCAUGGCCCUUAUGGGUAGGGCUUCACACGUCAUACAAUGGUCGGUACAGAGGGUUGCCAACCCGCGAGGGGGAGCUAAUCCCACAAAGCCGAUCGUAGUCCGGAUCGCAGUCUGCAACUCGACUGCGUGAAGUCGGAAUCGCUAGUAAUCGUGGAUCAGCAUGUCACGGUGAAUACGUUCCCGGGUCUU
RNAcentral lists this ribosomal RNA (461 nucleotides) under uncultured Tepidiphilus sp. RNAcentral describes it as "bacterial SSU rRNA". It matches the Rfam family "Bacterial small subunit ribosomal RNA", at positions 917 to 1381 of the family's 1533-position model. Lineage: Bacteria; Pseudomonadati; Pseudomonadota; Hydrogenophilia; Hydrogenophilales; Hydrogenophilaceae. The record is from RNAcentral.